Molecule: long non-coding RNA, 1194 nt
Organism: Magallana angulata
Lineage: Eukaryota; Metazoa; Mollusca; Bivalvia; Ostreida; Ostreidae
Exons: 3
Source: RefSeq, a predicted model, not a curated record
UUGGAGAAGUCAAGACUAACUUGUCAGUAAACUAUAUAUGGCUCUAUCAUAUUUAGUUUGGCAAAAUCAUCAGUACAUGUAAAUAAAAUAUAGUUAAAGACAAAAUCUGAUACAUAUGUCUCAUUAAAACUUGUUUAAUUUCAUUAGACAUUUGUAAACAAACGGUCGGCCAUUUUUUUUGGUUAAUCACGUGUUACAAAUACAAUUGUAACAACACACACGCCAAUACUUUGUUGUGUUUAACCAGGAAAUACUGACUCCGACAGUUCUUAUUUAAAAUAAAUAUACAUGUAAAAAGUAUACUAUUCGGUAAAAAAUGAUAAUUUUGAUUAAACAUUAUUUAUUUUAAACUAUCCCAAGAUGCACUUUUCCAAGAUUUAGGGGGUUCUGAUUGGUCAGUAUUGGCGCACUUUAUGAUUCCGAGCGAAGGUUAAAAUGGACAAGAAGGUCCUGUUGUAAAAUGGAGAAUUGAGAAGCAUUAAUAGUCUCUACAACAAGGAGAUAAUGCAGGAAGGAAGAACUCAUGUCAAGCAUUAACAGCAUACAAAGGCAAUGUUUCCGGUGAUUAGUUGCUCCUCUGUUCGGUGAUUCGGGUGAAAUUUGGACCAGCUGGACGAUGUGAACGCAAGAUAAAUAGAACAGACAUAAAGUACAGCCCAGUGAAAGGAACAAGUUCAUCGCAAGAAGAAGAAUUUUAAUGCUACCACUGUCCAGAACUACUAAGUCUGCUGUAACCAUGAUGUGAUCAUAUGAGUGCUUCACCAGUCUGGACAAUGCUCGACAUUCCCCCAAAAAGGCUUAUUUCCAUAAACCACGACUCGGGUUACAUCAACAACAGCCAAGGACACUCCUUAUUGAUUCGAAUGGACACAUCUCUACGACCCGACUAAACCUCUGCAGAACAAGACUUUUUAACUGUAAAGUAUUCUCAUUUAAAAAAAACCUAUAAACUAUAAAAGUACUUUUUUAUAUGAUCAAAUACCAGUAUAUUACAAUGUCUGUCUUUAAGCUAGAAUCUUAGAAAAUCACAUGGUUUUGACUUAUUAAAUGAUUGAUUAGAUAUUAACUUUCAUUUUCUUAAAUAAUUUGUAAUAUUUGCAAAUAUUGCAUAAAAUAUUAGACUCCAUGUAACAUAUACUCACACCUCCAAGUUGAUAAGUGAUAACUACUUUUUUUCCAUUUUCUUUGUUUAAA